AUACGUAGGUGGCAAGCGUUAUCCGGAAUUAUUGGGCGUAAAGAGGGAGCAGGCGGCAGCAAGGGUCUGUGGUGAAAGCCUGAAGCUUAACUUCAGUAAGCCAUAGAAACCAGGCAGCUAGAGUGCAGGAGAGGAUCGUGGAAUUCCAUGUGUAGCGGUGAAAUGCGUAGAUAUAUGGAGGAACACCAGUGGCGAAGGCGACGAUCGGGCCUGCAACUGACGCUCAGUCCCGAAAGCGUGGGGAGCAAAUAGGAUUAGAUACCCUAGUAGUCCACGCCGUAAACGAUGAGUACUAAGUGUUGGAUGUCAAAGUUCAGUGCUGCAGUUAACGCAAUAAGUACUCCGCCUGAGUAGUACGUUCGCAAGAAUGAAACUCAAAUGAAUUGACGGGG
This 392-nucleotide ribosomal RNA is filed under the name uncultured bacterium. RNAcentral's name for it is "partial 16S ribosomal RNA". It matches the Rfam family "Bacterial small subunit ribosomal RNA", at positions 523 to 918 of the family's 1533-position model. The record is from RNAcentral.